AUUGAACGCUGGCGGCAGGCCUAACACAUGCAAGUCGAGCGGAUGAAGGGAGCUUGCUCCUGGAUUCAGCGGCGGACGGGUGAGUAAUGCCUAGGAAUCUGCCUGGUAGUGGGGGAUAACGUCCGGAAACGGGCGCUAAUACCGCACACGUCCUGAGGGAGAAAGUGGGGGAUCUUCGGACCUCACGCUAUCAGAUGAGCCUAGGUCGGAUUAGCUAGUUGGUGGGGUAAAGGCCUACCAAGGCGACGAUCCGUAACUGGUCUGAGAGGAUGAUCAGUCACACUGGAACUGAGACAGGGUCCAGACUCCUACGGGAGGCAGCAGUGGGGAAUAUUGGACAAUGGGCGAAAGCCUGAUCCAGCCAUGCCGCGUGUGUGAAGAAGGUCUUCGGAUUGUAAAGCACUUUAAGUUGGGAGGAAGGGCAGUAAGUUAAUACCUUGCUGUUUUGACGUUACCAACAGAAUAAGCACCGGCUAACUUCGUG
RNAcentral lists this ribosomal RNA (484 nucleotides) under uncultured bacterium. Its description in RNAcentral is "partial 16S ribosomal RNA". It matches the Rfam family "Bacterial small subunit ribosomal RNA", at positions 30 to 507 of the family's 1533-position model. The record is from RNAcentral.